GAAGCUGAAAUUUGUUGCUGCGGGAGAUCCGGACGCGGGAGAAGUUGGAGCUGAAUUUCGUUGGCUGAAGUCGGCUUGAUCCUUGGAGCUCGGAUGGCGAGGACGUGGACGAUGGAAUGAGUCUCACGGCUAUGUGGAGAUGCCGGAAGAAUCGGAAGAAUGAAUCGCGGAUAUGGGGAAGAUGAGCUGGGGCGUGAUCCACGGAAUGGGGAGAUGUGAUCCGGAAGAAGAGGAAGCUGUUUGACUUCCUUCGGCUGGGAAGAAGCUGAACCGAGGAAGCAGGGGGGUUCGGUUGGCAGUUGAGAUGAAGCUCGCGAUGGGA
RNAcentral lists this long non-coding RNA (322 nucleotides) under Phoenix dactylifera (date palm). RNAcentral's name for it is "long non-coding RNA (PDAC_LNC010511)". The record is from RNAcentral. Lineage: Eukaryota; Viridiplantae; Streptophyta; Magnoliopsida; Arecales; Arecaceae.